Molecule: ribosomal RNA, 608 nt
Filed under: Cicindela lusitanica
Lineage: Eukaryota; Metazoa; Arthropoda; Insecta; Coleoptera; Carabidae
Description: partial 16S ribosomal RNA
Rfam family: Bacterial large subunit ribosomal RNA
Source: RNAcentral
AGGUCUAACCUGCCCAAUGAGGAAUUAAAUGGCCGCAGUAUUUUGACUGUGCAAAGGUAGCAUAAUUAUUAGUUUUUUAAUUGAAAGCUUGUAUGAAGGGUUGGACGAGAUAAAAUCUGUCUUUAUUUAAAUUACAAUAGAAUUUAACUUUUAAGUCAAAAGGCUUAAAUGUAUAUAAAAGACGAGAAGACCCUAUAGAUCUUUAUUUAAUUAAUAUUUUGAUAAUUUAAGAUUAUUUUAGUUUAAAGUUUUAAUUAAAUUUUAUUGGGGUAAUAUAGAGAUUAAAUAAAUUCUUUUUAUUUAUUACAUUGCUUUAUGAAUAUAUGAUCCAAUAUUAUUGAUUAUAAGAUUAAGUUACCUUAGGGAUAACAGCGUAAUUUUUUUGGAGAGCUCAUAUCGAUAAAAAAGUUUGCGACCUCGAUGUUGGAUUAAAAAUUAGCUUGGGUGCAGAAGCUCAAGAUUUUGGUCUGUUCGACCAUUAAAUUUUUACAUGAUCUGAGUUCAGACCGGCGUAAGCCAGGUCGGUUUCUAUCUUUAUUUAUCUAAAAUAUUUUAGUACGAAAGGACCAAAUAUUUAAUAUAAUUAUAUUUCUUUUUUGAAUAAUAUU